MicroRNA precursor from Macaca nemestrina (pig-tailed macaque), 86 nucleotides. The record is from Ensembl. NCBI's taxonomy places the organism in Eukaryota, Metazoa, Chordata, Mammalia, Primates, Cercopithecidae.
UAUUAGGUUGGUGCAAAAGUAAUUGCAGCUUUUGCCAUUGCUUUUGAAAAUGGAGGAAACUGCAAUUACUUUUCACCAACCUAAUA